Molecule: long non-coding RNA, 1604 nt
Organism: Oncorhynchus tshawytscha (Chinook salmon)
Lineage: Eukaryota; Metazoa; Chordata; Actinopteri; Salmoniformes; Salmonidae
Source: Ensembl
UAGAUUAAGGGAAUUCAUUUAAUGAAAACACAUUGGUAUAAUUAAAUUACAGUAACAAAACAGUAUUCAAGUGACAAGUGACAUCUAUGUAUACAGGACAGCAGCCUCUAAGUUGCAGGGUUGAGUAACUUGGUGGUAGCUGGCUAGUGAUGGCUAUUUAACAGUCUGAUGGCCUUGAGAUAGAAGCUGUUUUUCAGUCUCUCGUUCCCAGCUUUGAUGCACCUGCACUGACCUCGCCUUCUGGAUGAUAGCGGGGUGAACAGGCAGUGGCUCGGGUGGUUGAUGUCCUUGAUGAUCUUUUUGGCCUUCCUGUGACAUCGGGUGCUGUAGGUGUCCUGGAGGGCAGGCAGUGUGCCCCUGGUGAUGCGUCGAGCAGAUCGCACCACCCUCUGGAGAGCCUUGCGGUUGCUGGCGGUUCAGUUGGUAUACAUCUGUGUGUGUGAUUGCGUGUGUGACUGUGUGUGUGCGUCCAUAAGAAAAGGAGACCCAGUACCCAGUGAUAACCAGUUUAUUCUUAGCUCCAUGUUACUGUAGGCUAUGUACAUAAUUGACAGAGCAGAGUGAGGCACAUUGUCUGAACACUUCUACACAAUAUACUAGAUGUAUAGCACUGGUGAUGCUAACACAAGGCUAAAGCAUACAACAUGUGAUGCUAGUUCUGGGCUAAAGUAUAGCAUAUGUGAUGCUAGUUAUAUGCUAAAGUAUUGCCCAUGUUAGCACAAUACCUAAGUAUAGCACUGGUGAUGCUAAAGCUAGGCUAAAGUAAGCUAAAGCAAAGCCAAGGUGAUGUUAACAAUCUGGUAAAGUAUAGCACUAGCAACGCUAGGUUAAAGUAUAGCACAUGUGAUGCUAAAGUAGCAUAGCACAUGCAAUGCUAGGUUAAAUGCUAGGCUAACACUAGGCUAAAUUAAUGUGAAGCACCUUUGAUCGUGGCGAGAACACCAGCUGAUUGCAUACGAGUGAGUGAGGAACUAACACAACACACCAUACAGAAAGAGACAGAGAGCCGUGUCAUGUUGCUGGUGACAGUAUUGAACCAGUGUGUGUAUUAGUGUGACAGCAGAAGAUAGUUAUAAUAUAACCUAAACCUAGUUUCUAUAUGGGCCAGUUUCCCAGGCAAAGAUUAAGCCUAGUCCUGGACUAAAUGCUGCUUUCAAUAGAGAAUCUCCAUUGAACUUUAUUUUUAGUCCAGGACUAGGUUUAUCCUGUAGUGUCGGUCCGGAUGAGCUACGGUCGGUCCGGAUGAGUUGGGGUCGGUCCGGAUGAGUUGGGGUCGGUCCGGAUGAGUUGGGGUCGGUCCGGAUGAGUUGGGGUCGGUCCGGAUGAGUUGGGGUCGGUCCAGAUGAGUUGGGGUCGGUCCGGAUGAGCUGGGGUCGGUCCGGGAGCUGGGGUCGGUCCGGAUGAGCUGGGGUCGGUCCGGAUGAGCUGGGGUCGGUCCGGAUGAGCUGGGGUCGGUCCGGAUGAGGUAGGGUCGGUCCGGAUGAGGUAGGGUCGGUCCGGAUGAGCUGGGGUCGGUCCGGAUGAGUUAGGAUUGGUCCGAUGAGUUAGGAUUGGUCCGGAUGAGUUAGGAUUGGUCCGGAUGAGUUAGGAUUGGUCUGAAUGAG